GGAUGAACGCUGGCGGCGUGCCUACUCCAUGCAAGUCGAGCGAACAGACGAGGAGCUUGCUCCUCUGACGUUAGCGGCGGACGGGUGAGUAACACGUGGAUAACCUACCUAUAAGACUGGGAUAACUUCGGGAAACCGGAGCUACUACCGGAUAAUAUAUUGAACCGCAUGGUUCAAUAGUGAAAGACGGUUUUGCUGUCACUUAUAGAUGGAUCCGCGCCGCAUUAGCUAGUUGGUAAGGUAACGGCUUACCAAGGCGACGAUGCGUAGCCGACCUGAGAGAGUGAUCGGCCACACUGGAACUGAGACACGGUCCAGACUCCUACGGGAGGCAGCAGUAGGGAAUCUUCCGCAAUGGGCGAAAGCCUGACGGAGCAACGCCGCGUGAGUGAUGAAGGUCUUCGGAUCGUAAAACUCUGUUAUUAGGGAAGAACAAAUGUGUAAGUAACUAUGCACGUCUUGACGGUACCUAAUCAGAAAGCCACGGCUAACUACGUG
This 498-nucleotide ribosomal RNA is filed under the name uncultured bacterium. RNAcentral's name for it is "partial 16S ribosomal RNA". It matches the Rfam family "Bacterial small subunit ribosomal RNA", at positions 27 to 507 of the family's 1533-position model. The record is from RNAcentral.